GUCUCCUUUUUCUAAUCAGUGAAACUAAUCUUCCCGUGAAGAAGCGGGAAUAUCCCCAUAAGACGAGAAGACCCCAUGGAGCUUCAAACCCAAUUACACCCCUAACCCCUAUAACUACUUAACCCUUAGGAUUCUGUAUUAUUGGUUUUAGGUUGGGGCGACCACGGAGUACAACAAAACCUCCACAAUGAACGGAACUACUUCCUCAUCUGAGAGCUACACCUCUAAGAAUUAAAAUAUUAACAUAAAAUGAUCCAUUUUUGAUCAAUGAACCAAGUUACCCUGGGGAUAACAGCGCAAUCCAUUUCAAGAGCCCCUAUCGACAAAUGGG
RNAcentral lists this ribosomal RNA (331 nucleotides) under Mantidactylus katae. RNAcentral describes it as "partial 16S ribosomal RNA". It matches the Rfam family "Bacterial large subunit ribosomal RNA", at positions 2018 to 2516 of the family's 2925-position model. Lineage: Eukaryota; Metazoa; Chordata; Amphibia; Anura; Mantellidae. The record is from RNAcentral.